CGAUCAGCUGAUUUCCUGAACACGUCAGUCCUGGGAUCUGAGGGCAAGGUUACAGGAGCUCGGAGAUGGAAGUCAGAGGGUUGCGGAGGGAAUUCAGUUGCGGAGUCGUGACGCUCCAUCACUGUGAGACUGACGGACUCACUCGGCCACAAUGCAGCUCAGUCACUGUGGUGUCUCUACCUGCAGUUAAUUUGAUCUUUCACCUAAUAACAAGAGCCGAAGCACUUCACAGAAAUGAAUAUAGUGGCAAAUGAAAUUUUAUUUAGUUAAUACAUUCGAAGCUGUACCAAU
Molecule: non-coding RNA, 291 nt
Organism: Chiloscyllium plagiosum (whitespotted bambooshark)
Lineage: Eukaryota; Metazoa; Chordata; Chondrichthyes; Orectolobiformes; Hemiscylliidae
Source: RefSeq, a predicted model, not a curated record